AACGAACGCUGGCGGCGUGCCUAACACAUGCAAGUCGGACGAGAAAGUUUCCUUCGGGAAGCGAGUAAAGUGGCGCACGGGUGAGUAACACGUAGACAACCUGCCUUCCAGUCCGGGACAACUUUUCGAAAGAAGGGCUAAUACCGGAUAACACUUUGGGCCGCAUGGCCUGGGUUGAAAGAUUUAUCGCUGGAAGAGGGGUC
This 203-nucleotide ribosomal RNA is filed under the name uncultured bacterium. RNAcentral's name for it is "partial 16S ribosomal RNA". It matches the Rfam family "Bacterial small subunit ribosomal RNA", at positions 29 to 231 of the family's 1533-position model. The record is from RNAcentral.